RNAcentral lists this long non-coding RNA (230 nucleotides) under Vulpes vulpes (red fox). RNAcentral describes it as "lncRNA (ENSVVUG00000013261.1)". The record is from RNAcentral. Lineage: Eukaryota; Metazoa; Chordata; Mammalia; Carnivora; Canidae.
CACACACAAACACUCUAUCUCUAAGAUAAAUGAAGAAAUCUUAAGAAACAAAAAACUGUUUGGUUAAGUUCCAGGCUUCCAGGCAACAUUUUGAAAAGAUUCUCCUUGUUCUCAGAGCUGCAAACAUCCAGGAGGAAAUCCCUGCUCAGUAUGCAGUAUUUUAUGAUAUGCGUAUCUUUGUUCUUCAUAACUUCAAAACUUUAAAUAAACGUUACUGGUUUAUUGUAUGU